CGAACGCUGGCGGCAGGCUUAACACAUGCAAGUCGAAGGAGAAGCUGGACUUCGGUUCAGUGGAAACUGGCGCACGGGUGAGUAACGCGUGGGGAUAUGCCCAAAGGUACGGAAUAACCGUUGGAAACGACGGCUAAUACCGUAUGUUCCCUCAGGGGAAAAGCUUCGGCGCCUUUGGAUUAUCCCGCGUCCGAUUAGCUAGUUGGUGAGAUAACAGCUCACCAAGGCUCCGAUCGGUAGCUGGUCUGAGAGGACGAUCAGCCACACUGGGACUGAGACACGGCCCAGACUCCUACGGGAGGCAGCAGUGGGGAAUAUUGGACAAUGGGGGCAACCCUGAUCCAGCCAUGCCGCGUGAGUGAAGAAGGCCCUAGGGUUGUAAAACUCUUUCAGCGGGGAAGAUGAUGACGGUACCCGCAGAAGAAGCCCCGGCUAACUCCGUGCCAGCAGCCGCGGUAAUACGGAGGGGGCUAGCGUUGCUCGGAAUUACUGGGCGUAAAGGGCGCGUAGGCGGACUUUUCAGUCAGGCGUGAAAGCCCCGGGCUCAACCCGGGAACUGCGUUUGAUACUAGAAGUCUAGAGAUCUGGAGAGGGUGGUGGAAUUCCCAGUGUAGAGGUGAAAUUCGUAGAUAUUGGGAAGAACACCGGUGGCGAAGGCGGCCAUCUGGCCAGACACUGACGCUAAGGCGCGAAAGCGUGGGGAGCGAACAGGAUUAGAUACCCUGGUAGUCCACGCCGUAAACGAUGUGUGCUAGACGUUGGGCAGCUUGCUGCUCGGUGUCGCAGCUAACGCGUUAAGCACACCGCCUGGGGAGUACGAUCGCAAGAUUAAAACUCAA
This 839-nucleotide ribosomal RNA is filed under the name uncultured Alphaproteobacteria bacterium. Its description in RNAcentral is "SSU rRNA". It matches the Rfam family "Bacterial small subunit ribosomal RNA", at positions 30 to 904 of the family's 1533-position model. Lineage: Bacteria; Pseudomonadati; Pseudomonadota; Alphaproteobacteria. The record is from RNAcentral.